AGCUCAAAAGCUAGCCUAACCCAUAAACGCAACACGCCCCUAUUAAUAUCUUUGAACCCGCUUAUUCAUUUUAUUAAAUCAUUUUCCCCCUUUAGUAUAGGUGAUAGAAAAAGCACUCAGCGCUAUAGAAAAAGUACCGCAAGGGAAUGCUGAAAGAGAAAUGAAACAACUCAGUAAAGCUAAAAAAAGCAGAGACUACCUCUUGUACCUUUUGCAUCAUGCUUUAGCAAGAACAAGUAAGCAAAAAGAAUUUUAGUUUACACACCCGAAACUCAGCGAGCUACUUCAAGCCAGUCUAGUAAUAGGACAAACCCGUCUCUGUGGCAAAAGAGUGGGGCGAGCUUCAAGUAGAGGUGACAAACCUACCGAGCUUAGUUAUAGCUGGUUGCCUAAAAACUGAAUAGAAGUUCAGCCUCUUAAGUUCUUGGCUCCCCCACAGUUUUACUCACCAAGACCACAAGAAAUUAAGAGAGUUAGUCAAAUGGGGUACAGCCCAUUUGACAGAAGAUACAACUUUCCCAGGUGGGAAAGGGGCAUAACACCCUUAGGCAAGUAACUUAAGUGGGCCUAAAAGCAGCCACCUCUACUGAAAGCGUUAUAGCUCAAGUACAAGCCCUUCCUUAAAUUCCACAAACUUUCUCCCCUCCCCCCUUCAAUUAUUAGGCCUAUCUACUUAGUAGAUGUGAUUAUGCUAAUAUGAGUAAUAAGAAAGCACACUCUUUCUCCACGCACAAGUGUAAAUCGGAACGAACUCCCACCGACAAUCAUACGCUCUCAAAAACAGAGAGGAAUGGAGACAACAACAAACAACCAGAAAACCCCUCAUACUCCAGCGUUACCCCCACACUGGUGCGCUCACCUGGAAAGACCUAAAGAAAAAGAAGGAACUCGGCAAACAUAAGCCUCGCCUGUUUACCAAAAACAUCGCCUCUUGACUAACUAUAAUAAGAGGUCCCGCCUGCCCUGUGACCAAAAGUUCAACGGCCGCAGUAUUUUGACUGUGCAAAGGUAGCGCAAUCACUUGUCUUUUAAAUGAAGACCUGUAUGAAUGGCAUAACGAGGGCUUAACUGUCUCCUUUUUCCAGUCAAUGAAAUUGAUCUCCCCGUGCAGAAGCGGGGAUAGCACCAUAAGACGAGAAGACCCUGUGGAGCUUUAAAUGAAGUUAGAUCAUGUCAAAACCCCUUCUUAAAGGAACGAACUAAUUGAUUACUACACUACAUUUUUGGUUGGGGCGACCACGGGGGACAAAAGAUCCCCCAUGUGGACUGGAAAAAUAUUUUCAAAACUAAGAGAAACCCCUCUAAGUAGCAGAAUAUCUGACCAUCAUGACCCGGCAUAGCCGAUCAACGAACCAAGUUACCCCAGGGAUAACAGCGCAAUCCUUUUUUAGAGCCCAUAUCGACAAAAGGGUUUACGACCUCGAUGUUGGAUCAAGACAUCCUAAUGGUGCAGCCGCUAUUAAGGGUUCGUUUGUUCAACGAUUAAAGUCUUACGUGAUCUGAGUUCAGACCGGAGUAAUCCAGGUCAGUUUCUAUCUAUGUCACGGCUUCUUUUAGUACGAAAGGACCAAAGAAGCAGGGCCCAUGCCCACCGCACGCCCUCUUUUUACCCUCUGAGCCCCUAUCAAGAGGGCAACUGAACGUGGCUCUAAUCCUGAGAUUAAGGUUA
Molecule: ribosomal RNA, 1669 nt
Filed under: Phenacostethus smithi
Lineage: Eukaryota; Metazoa; Chordata; Actinopteri; Atheriniformes; Phallostethidae
Description: 16S ribosomal RNA
Rfam family: Bacterial large subunit ribosomal RNA (bases 72-1561)
Source: RNAcentral